CAGUAGCCGCGGUAACACGUAGGAGGCAAGCGUUGUCCGGAAUUAUUGGGCGUAAAGGGCUCGCAGGCGGUUUCUUAAGUCUGAUGUGAAAGCCCCCGGCUCAACCGGGGAGGGUCAUUGGAAUCUGGGAAACUUGAGUGCGGAAGAGGAGAGUGGAAUUCCACGUGUAGCGGUGAAAUGCGUAGAGAUGUGGAGGAACACCAGUGGCGAAGGCGACUCUCUGGUCUGCAACUGACGCUGAGGAGCGAAAGCGUGGGGAGCGAACAGGAUUAGAUACCUCCGUAGUCCCUGUCUCUUAUAC
This 301-nucleotide ribosomal RNA is filed under the name uncultured bacterium. RNAcentral describes it as "partial 16S ribosomal RNA". It matches the Rfam family "Bacterial small subunit ribosomal RNA", at positions 509 to 807 of the family's 1533-position model. The record is from RNAcentral.